UAGGGAAUCUUCGGCAAUGGACGAAAGUCUGACCGAGCAACGCCGCGUGAGUGAAGAAGGUUUUCGGAUCGUAAAACUCUGUUGUUAGAGAAGAACAAGGACGUUAGUAACUGAACGUCCCCUGACGGUAUCUAACCAGAAAGCCACGGCUAACUACGUGCCAGCAGCCGCGGUAAUACGUAGGUGGCAAGCGUUGUCCGGAUUUAUUGGGCGUAAGGCGAGCGCAGGCGGUUUCUUAAGUCUGAUGUGAAAGCCCCCGGCUCAACCGGGGAGGGUCAUUGGAAACUGGGAGACUUGAGUGCAGAAGAGGAGAGUGGAAUUCCAUGUGUAGCGGUGGAAUGCGUAGAUAUAUGGAGGAACACCAGUGGCGAAGGCGGCUCUCUGGUCUGUAACUGACGCUGAGGCUCGAAAGCGUGGGGAGCAAACAGG
RNAcentral lists this ribosomal RNA (429 nucleotides) under Gemmatimonadota bacterium. Its description in RNAcentral is "Gemmatimonadetes bacterium partial 16S ribosomal RNA". It matches the Rfam family "Bacterial small subunit ribosomal RNA", at positions 355 to 776 of the family's 1533-position model. Lineage: Bacteria; Pseudomonadati; Gemmatimonadota. The record is from RNAcentral.